GUGGCUGCAGAUGCAAGAAAAUCAAGUUCUUUGAAGAUGAUAAAAAUAGGGUUUCAUCCCUAUUCUCUGCACUCUCAGAGAGAGCUAGGGAACCAUCAUUUUGGCUUUAGGUCAUUUCAAGAGGUCCUUCUGUCAAAUGAAAUCACUCCAAACGAGUCUCACCUGACUACAUCCGGUGAGCUGCCAAAAUGGAAAACUAAUCCUACACGUUUAAAGCCCAAAUUGAGGAGAAACAAUUACACAUUGGGUGUAUAUACUCGAUCUAAUAUGAUUUUGUCGUGCUUGUAUUUUAACUAAAUUAGACAAUUUUUUAUGCAUGAAAAAUUAUAUUAGAUUUGGUGUAUAAAUUUGAUGUACCUAAUAUUUCUCAACUCGAGGCAUGUUAUCCCAAAGCAAAAGGGUCAAAUGUCAAUGAGCAACUUUGAAAAUUGGAAACUUACAUACUUUUUAAGCGCCAUUUAUUGACUCGGGGUAAUACAAACCACAUGGUACAUUUUCUUGAA
Malania oleifera is the source of this 503-nucleotide long non-coding RNA. RefSeq lists it as uncharacterized. The transcript has 2 exons. The record is from RefSeq and is a predicted model, not a curated record. Lineage: Eukaryota; Viridiplantae; Streptophyta; Magnoliopsida; Santalales; Ximeniaceae.